This 27-nucleotide non-coding RNA is filed under the name Xenopus tropicalis (tropical clawed frog). RNAcentral also lists the same sequence under 3 other names. Lineage: Eukaryota; Metazoa; Chordata; Amphibia; Anura; Pipidae. The record is from RNAcentral.
UGGUGACUCUAGAUAACCUCGGGCCGA